UGGGGAAUUUUGCGCAAUGGAGGCAACUCUGACGCAGCAACGCCGCGUGCGGGAUGAAGGCCCUCGGGUUGUAAACCGCUUUCAGCAGGGAAGACUUCGACUGUACCUGCAGAAGAAGCCCCGGCUAACUACGUGCCAGCAGCCGCGGUAAUACGUAGGGGGCGAGCGUUAUCCAGAUUCAUUGGGCGUAAAGCGCGCGUAGGCGGCUCGCCAAGCGGGAUCUCAAACCUGAGGGCUCAACCCCCGCAGCAGGAUCCCGGACUGGCGGGCUCGAGUUCGGUAGGGGAAGGCGGAACUCCCAGUGUAGCGGUGAAAUGCGCAGAUAUUGGGAGGAACACCGAUGGCGAAGGCAGCCUUCUGGGCCGUAACUGACGCUGAGGUGCGAAAGGCUAGGGGAGCGAACAGGAUUAGAUACCC
This 417-nucleotide ribosomal RNA is filed under the name uncultured bacterium. RNAcentral describes it as "bacterial SSU rRNA". It matches the Rfam family "Bacterial small subunit ribosomal RNA", at positions 355 to 787 of the family's 1533-position model. The record is from RNAcentral.